ACAGAAAGCAUUUUGGGUGAACUGUUCUUUUAAGGCAAAAACUUCAUAUGUAUUUUCUCCCCAGAACGAUUUCUAAAGGAUCAUGUGACACCGGAGACUGGAGAAGUGACUGCUGAAGAUUCCAUAACAGAAAUAAAUGACAUUUUAAAGUGUUUAUAAAUGGCUCCUAUUGUGUGAUGACUAAUAGUCCAGGUAGUGGCAUCCAGCUGAGUUCUAACAGUUUGUCUGCACACUUCCCCAGGCCUAGGUCUGUGGGCUGCAGGGGGCCAGCGCUGACUGACAGAGGUCCUGCCGUGAAAGGCGGAGAGCUCCUCAUGGGCCUCAGCAUGCAGCCCCUUUCCCAGGCCCGCCUUGAGGCCUCCGGCCGCUCUGCAGGAGGGUCCCGCUCCGCUCUCAGACCUCAUCCACAGACCUGUG
This is a long non-coding RNA of Puntigrus tetrazona (Sumatra barb), 417 nucleotides long. RefSeq lists it as uncharacterized. The transcript is spliced from 4 exons. NCBI's taxonomy places the organism in Eukaryota, Metazoa, Chordata, Actinopteri, Cypriniformes, Cyprinidae. The record is from RefSeq and is a predicted model, not a curated record.